This 426-nucleotide long non-coding RNA is filed under the name Olea europaea (common olive). Its description in RNAcentral is "long non-coding RNA (OEUR_LNC011032)". The record is from RNAcentral. Lineage: Eukaryota; Viridiplantae; Streptophyta; Magnoliopsida; Lamiales; Oleaceae.
ACAGGGACGCCAGGCGAAUUUAGGGGCAUUGACGGAGGCAUUGGGGGUCGAUUUACCAUAAGAGGUUGGCCGUGCAUCAUUGACAUUGGAGGAGGUGGAGGCCGAACAGAAGGAAUCAUGUUGACAACUGGCAGCCUUGGUGGUGGCGGUGCAAUUACCCCAGAAUUUGAAGUGGUUGAAUACUGGACAGUAGUUGGAGGUCUAGGGAUAUUCAAAACAAGCCCAGGAGGCGGAGGAAGAGGCCUAACUGAUGGCAUACCAGGUCUGGGAGGAGGAGGUGCUGGACCAGGAAGGUUUAUAGCAUUAUUAUAUGUAGGAUCAUUUUGGUCCUCCCCAGCAAUAUUCUGGGACAAGGCCUGGCUAGCUGUGCGACCAAUGCUUCCUGAAUGACCAUCCCAUAUGACCUGCUUCGGUUGUUCAUCUUUC